GGCUAGAAAACAAUGGAAUUUUUAUUGAACAGAGAUGGCUCAUAAACACACUCAAAGGAGUUCCACCUGCUGUUCAGCAAUAUUCAUUGCUAUCUGAUAAUAACCUAUGGGGGCAGCUGUAUAAAACAGGAAUAAAAUACCAAAUUGCUAUAUUCAUUAAUAACUUUGCCUUCCAAAUACAGAACCAUAAGUAUUUCAAGUCUGAAAAUAGACCACAAUUGUUAGCAUUUGAACCAAACCUUUAUGAUAACAAAUAUACAAAAAAUGGCAGUCAAUAUAUUAAACAUUUAAAUCAAUAGCAUACAUUUCCAAGAGGUAAACAUUGAGCAAACAAAGCCACCGAUGAUGUUCAGGAAUCAGGUAAAAGUUUCAAGGUCAAGCUCCAAACACUGUAGCUUUUCUAAAGCCAUACUGGUAUUACACUUUUAUCUAGCCCCUACAUUGAAAACUAUGUAGCAUGAACAUUUGAAAAUAUAACAUUGGCUAUCCAGCAGGCAACUGGGAGUUCCUUAAGUCCUCCUCGUGUUUAUACCGGAGCACCUGCGGACACAGAGAGCAGUAGGAGUCAAGCACUUUGUUUGGCAAUGCUGGGGUUUGAGUUCUGUUCUAGAUGACCACAACAGGGUCCUAAUACCAAACACAAAUUCCAGCACGGACAAGAGAAUAUUUGCCUGACAACCUGCAUGAAGAAUCAGCCUCGCAACUUGCAUUAAACAGAAUGGGACUUGCACACCUGCCCAUUUACUGGAAGCCUGUGCUAUUUCUAUUGCAAAGAAAAAGUCUCCUUCAGUAGCUGAUCUAAUGCCGGAGGCUGAAAACUUGGGAUACGUACAUAAGCUCAAAAAUAAUGUGAUAAAUCUACUAUUGACAACUAAUAAAAGUUCGUAUUGCAAUAUUGCUCACAACAUAAAUGUACAAUUUGCACAAAACAUGGCUCUUCAACAUGAAUAUUUUGCAAGCUACUAUAUAUAUAUGUAUAUAUAAUAUGUAUAAUUUCUUUUCGUAAAGAAUUAUAUGCCAGAGUGCAUGCAAAGAAUUUCAAAGCAGUAGCACAACAGGAGUGAUCACUUGUUUACAGGUUACUGAGACCAUUCAAUACAGAAACAGUGGGAUAUUAGAUAACAGACAGACAGGUAGGUAGAUGUAUGUACACACUGCUUCUUCAGGGACCUUCCCAUGUGACACCCGAAUCUCAGACCCCUUUAAAAGACCAAACAGGGCUCUGAAGGUUCCCACACUCUGACCAUAAAUCACUUCUGUUGGAGACCACAGCAAAGGAGGCACUUGUCCCUUAGCCAAGAGUAGAAGCAAGCAAUCUUCUCCAUAGCCAACAUCUGAUCCAAAUCCUGCUCCUGCAUUUCUAAGCAGUGAGUGGUGAGCAUCUAUCCAUCCAAUGCUUUAGCUGGUCCCAAGCAGUCUCCUGCAACCUUUACAGCUGGAAAUCCAGGACUGAGAAGCUGGAUCCCCUAAAAGCAGUGCACAGCACUGCUACCAUUCUAGUCAGGUAUGUACAAGGCAUGACAUGUAUUCCUCUGGUUUAAAAUUUACAUAGAGUAUAUACAAAUAAAGCUAUUCUAUCAAGGUGCAAGUUUAUUAUUCUCUGGUGUGUUCCAAUGAAGAUUUCUUAAAAAAAACCUUUAUACAGACCCACCAGGAGAGUUUACACAAAGUUGACACUUUGUCAAGUUCAUUAUGUAGGCUUCCUUCUGCAAACUCCAUAAUGGAAACUCCUGUUACUUUCCCUUGGAGUUCUGCCUAUACACAGGGCUGGAUUUGAUAGACUACAGCCAUGUCUAAUAUAAUUUCCUUGAUUUUAAUACAUUUUAAACUUGGAUGAAGUGGCAGCAUGUGUUUUUUGGGUUUUUUUUCCCAGGGUGUCAUCCAUCUCUAUGAAAUGAGGCAGGACAUGUAAUUCGAUGUCAGGGGGAUUGUAUUUCAUGUGCCCAGUCCAGCUUUCCUUGCUUUUGAUGGGACUGUGGUGUGUGAAGCUGUCACAGUUUGGCCCUAUGGGUAUGUCUGGAAGUCCUUGGUGCUAUUUUACACUGGCUGAUGACAGGCAAUGUCCUCAAAAGAAAAAAAAAAAAAAAAAACCCAAAUGCAAUUUACUAAACAGUAAACAUCAGACUGAUGCACUAAACAGAUGGAUAUGGAAUGCAACUUGUCUAAAAUUAGAACAGUUGUUUUCUUAGGCAGGUCUAAAAUCAUAAAGAUCUUUCCCAUCCCACGCAGGCCUCAUUCUGCAGCAUGUAAAUAUAUGAUACUUCUAAUAAAACUCAUUGUGAAUGCAAAGCCUGUGAUCAAGGAGCAGAAGGAAGGCCUGCCCUCUCCCAUUUCCCUUCAGCAAAAACCUCAAGUAAUAUAAGUACAUAUUUAUGAUCACUGAUGAAGCAGAGGGGCUGUGUGCAGUGACAGCAGGAUUUGGCCUUCAGCCUUUAUGGUGUACCAACCACAAGUGUGCAGAUGACUGGAUGGGAAAUUACAUCUGCUAGAGCAUUAAAAAACCAUACAGCCUUGCAGUAACUCCCAUUAAAAAUUCCCACUGACUUGAGGAGAGAGAGCAAGAGAGCAGUCUUUAGCAAGUGCAUGUUCUGCUCCACUGGAGUUAUGUCCCUCAGAAAUCUUUCUGUAAUACCAUUUUCCUCCAUUUUGUAAGCUGAUUAUAUCGAGGCAUUCACAGCAGAGGCUUUGCACGUGUCCUCUCAAGCUAAGGGGAGCCUUUCACACUAGAAACAAAGAUCUCAUUAGUUGGUUUUUUUUCUUUUUCAGAGUAAUGCAAUAAUAAAAAUCAACUUGCUGGUUUCACAUGCUGCAGCACCUUUAUACAGCCUUAACAAAAUAAGAUUUUUGUUAAGGCUGUUACAAUUCAUUUGUCAUCUAGCAAGAACAAAUGAAUCAUAAUCUCAUUGGAGAUUUUAAAAGGAUCAGCAUCAGACAGACAUUAAACGGUGUUUAAGAUGACCUCAGGUGCACUUGGAGAAGAUGCUGUGAGAGUGCUUCAGCAAUUAAAAAAAAGGCUCAAAAGAAAUUAAAUACAAAUAUGCCCUUUAAAAUAAUGUUCAAGUUGUGGACACAGUGGACAAAAGCAAACAAAGCCGCCACCUCAAAUUAUGGCUGAGCUCCUCUAUUUUUCAUACAUUUCCUUCUGCCUUGGUUCUGACUGCCGUCCAUUAGUCUCUCCAGUGGAAGGGCUUGUGCUGGAUCAUUAACAGCAGAAAACAGGCAAUUUUCAAAAGCAUCUAACACACUCAAGAGAAUGACAUAUUUGAAUGAGCCACAUUUGUCUGUCCUUUUGAGAAAAAAAUAUUUGGUUCCAGAAACAUUUGUAUUUCUUAGCUAUAAUCUUUAUCCAUUGAAAAAACAUCUGCCAUCCUAUUGUCCAUACUCUGACUCUGUUAUUUUGUUUUUAUCCACUGUAAAUGGGUAAGCAAAGGGGAAGAAAGUUUCACCUGUGUUGUUAAUUAUAGAUGACCUCAAACAUGCCUGUGAAGCCACAAACCAGUAUUUAAGCCGCAUCUGUGGGACGGAGGACAGGAUCUCUGUGUUUGUUGAUGAUGGCUGUUGGGUUAUGUGAUCUUUCAUUUCCUUCUCAAUAAAAAGUGAAAUGAAACCUUCACAAAAAACCCCAACAAAAGAUGACAGCAAACAAAACCACUCAGCUAGGAAAAAAACCCCAAACCCAAAUUCAUAACAACCGUAACAAAUGCAAAACAAUCAUAGCAAUUCCUAGGUUAGUAUUACACAAAUUAGGAGUCUGCCUAAAACCAGCAAAAAAUCAAGAUCAGCACAAUGGUUCUGGCACAUCUUAUUUCUGGCACAUCCUUUCCUCUUGUUUUCACUUUUCUUUCCUAGCUUCCAGUUCCAAGACAUCUCAGGGACAGGUGGAAGUGGAUGUGAAGAGGCAGAAAUGAAGCAAAGAGCUGCCCACAGACAGUGCUCUUUCUGUAUUUACAGGAUGCUCACACCAGGAUUUCCUAAUUUAGGUUUGCUUUCAGUGAUAAAGGCACAAGCGCUUCAGAAGUGGAUCAUUUUCCAUUUAAGGAUCAAGACUGUGCUUUCUGAUUAGAGAUAUGCAUUUGGCCUGCAAAGACUUCAAAGGUGACACAGUAUGAAAUAAAGAUGGAAAACAGACCUAAUCCACAGACUAGAGAAAUCAAUGAAUAGGCUUCCAGCCAUUUUAGUGGAGCAAAUUUCAUCAUGCUUUCUUGUUUUGGUUUGUGAAUGAAGUUACAGUAGAAACUUGUGGUUUUUUCAUAGAACAUUCAUAUAUUUUUAACAUGUAAAUUACUCCUUGAACCCUAUAUCAAAUAUUUAUAAAUGCUAAACUAGGUACAAAGUCAAACCCGUUUGGGAAAGUAGAGCAGAGGGAGGUUUAGCUGCACUAAUGGAUAUUGCAUUAAUGCUUAGACUCAAGGAAGGCUGACUGCCAUUAACAAGAAAUCUCAUUACAAACAUGAUUUCACGCCUCAUAACAUAUCCCGUAGACCUAUUUGAUGUCCAUCUCUCUCUCUUGAACAUACACACAAUGAUAACUGUAGACACAAAAUCCAAAGUAUUGCACAUGCUUCAUCUUUACUUCCCAAUGAAAAAAUUAUCAAACCAAACAAAUAAAAAAAGCAAAAGAAAACCAACCCAAAUUUCAACGUUUUACAAUCUCACUUCUGCCAUGAAUGACUUAAGACACUUUCCAGACUUUGACGUAAUGAAAAACAUGCUCUGAGCAUAAAUGAUGUUCAAAUAGCAUUACAAGAAGCUUUCAGAGGAGUGGGACUGAAGGAUGCUCUAGCAGCCCACCUGGUACUAGGGGUGGGGAGGGCAGGUUGAGAGAAUGGGGUCUUUCCUGUGGAUUUUUCUUUUCCCUCCUCUCUGUAGUAGAUGGCAGAGCCAAGAGAGAGUGGGGAAGAAGAGCACUGAACCUAACUUGGGGCAUUAAAGAGCAGAGAUCCAUUAUUCAACCUUGCCCAUAACACCCAAGAGAUCAGAAAGAGGAAUAUCCUGCACUGCAGAGAGUGGGAUUUACUUGGUUGGUGUCUAUAAUGCUCAGGCACCUCUGUUCCCCACUGGCACAGUGCAUAUGGCUCCACAACAGCUGCAGGGCUCCAGAGAAACAGGGACAGGAAGCAACCUACUGGCCAAAAUGCACUGAUGAGACAUAAAUAGCUCAUGUUUUUCUAGUACUAACUGGAACUUAGCCAGGAACAUGGGGUCAAAAAGCUCUGAGAUACAUUCCUGUAGUCCAUGUAUUCUACAAUGUAAAAACAUAACUCACAACUGAAGUAAGACUGCACAUUUUACUGCAUCCCCAAAUGGCACAAUUAGUCAUUGGCUUAAUAACUGCAAGGCAAAAAUCAGUUCCCAAGGUAUUGAACUGACUGGGUUAAGCAGGGUAUUUGACCAAGAGACUGCUUGGAUGCCGGGGAAGGAGUUUUCACUAUGAUGAGGCUCCAGGGGCUUCCUGUGCUCCUUCCUACUUCCUGCCCCAGUAUGGCACAACCAGCACUAGGGCACAGGAGGCUUUUGACUGUGCUGAGGGGCAAUUCCCAGCCUGCACAUUUGCUGUGAGCCCUUCAAAAGGUAUGCAGAACAGAGAGAACCUGACUUUGGAAAGGCUCAUCUGAAAGCCUCUCACGCAGGAAGCGGCAGGUUAUUCAGUGUAUCCACUGCUGGGAAGGGGAAGGGCUGGACUCUCUUGAACCUGUAGCUUUAACAAGUCCAGAUGCUUUGAAACAUGUUAAUCUGUCCCUGCCAGAAUAGCGUUUUGACCUUAAUUAAUUAAAAUGACCUCCUAACACACUGGAUUUUCCUAAAGUGGCAGUCUCUUUUUUUAUUUCUGAGCAUCUCCCUUUUCUUUUGUGGCUCAUUGUAAGUCAUAAAUUAUUUUCAAUUGGGUAUUUCAGCGAGGCUUUUCCCCAUCUUUGUUUGCUUUAGAAAGGCAGUGAGAAAUAAGAUUACCUCUCACUGUGCUGGGCAAAGCUGAAUAAUGGAAGUUUUAAUGAUAACACAGCAGCAGAGAUGAUGGGGAGUGGAAAGACCAAAGUUAACCAGCAGCAGCAGUGAAGAUAUUUGUAAGGACGAGAAAGUGCCACCAAUUGCUUCAAUUCCAUGGCCAUAUGUGAGCAUGGGACCAAGCAAACCCUCUGUGUGAGCACUGAAGAGACUGGAGCCAACUGGGCUGGUUGAGAAUGCCAAGCAAGUGGCACGAGAUGGGGCUGUUUCCCCUGUUCCUGCUCUCCCCUUUGAUUUCAUGGAAACUCUGACUUGGGGAACAAAUGAAUUAGCCAACAGUGAACACUAUACCUCUGGAAUCAGAGGCAAAGAUCUGAGUUUAUACAUUCAAAUUAUUUUACCUAAUCCUCCUCCCUUACUAAGACCUCUUCAUUCAUGUGCCAUCCAGCAUGGACAGAAACCUGUGCCUAAGCUAAGCAUGCCCAUUCACAUGGCAUCACUGCCUCUACAGGAUGAAAGAACAAAACUGUCAGCCCAAAGAAAGGUGAAAAAUGCCUUUCCAAAGGAAAAAGAAACAACAAAGUCGCUGUUUAGCGAUUUAGCCAACUAACUAUGCAAAGCACAAGGUGUCUGUAGAAUUAACCUAUCCAGCCAACACAACCUCUCUUGUAAAUUGCUGUCUCCUGGGUGUUUUAGUGACAAGCAGUCCAAGCAAAGCACAAAACCCAUCAUCUAAUGAGACUCUUGACUUUGAGGUGGUGAGAUACCACAUUUUAAGCACAGGCAUCCAAGAUAAACACACUCUAGGGCAUUUACAGCUGUUCCAUGCAAGAAGCCUUGGACAGAUCUGAAGGAAUGACAACUUAAUGACAACAAAAAGAAACUGAAUGUCCUCCUCCUACCCACACUGAGCUUGCUUCCCCAGCUGAAAGGCUCACUGAAGGCAGCUGACAAACUCCCAUUAGUCUUUCUGCAGGUUUCCAGAUUUUCCUUCUGCUUUGGGCACCACAUGCACAAUAUUCUCAGCAGUGCUCUCACCGAAGCCACGGAGCACUGAGCCACAGCUGAAGACUUGGCUGUGCUGUUUUCUGCAGCUGAAGGCCAGUUACAAAUAGCAGGUCAGGUGCAAUUGUACUGAAAUGUGAUAAUCUGGUCAGAGUGGGCAGCUUCUGUUUUCACCCACAGAAAUGAAGAUAAAAGGCCUUACCUCAAAAUAAGUAACAAGUUAAAAACUAACCUAAUAAUUUUGCUAUAAAUGUAUGGAAGUGCUGCAGUUUGUUUGCUUACAGGUUGACAUCUAAAAUGAGUAAUGUUCUCAUCUAUGGGGUUUCAGAUAUUAUCUGAGGGUUAUUUCAAGGGUAACUUCCUGCAAACUUAUUUAAUAAAUUUUAGGAUAAAUCCUAGGCAGUUAUUUUAAUUCUUAUAAAUCUCAACAUCUCUGUGCCAGAGGAUGAAAGCAACAUUAGGCCCUUCAUUUCUGUAAAGCACUUGCAAAGCCUCACAUGAAAGACACCUUGUCAAACCAACUAACUUGAAGACUUUGGCUUUAGGUAAAUCUCAUUCAGAAAACAAACAAACAAACAAAAACAAACCCCACAAAACAAACAAACAAACCCCAAAUCCAAAAACCCCAAACCAAGAACAAAAAACACAACCAAAACUAACCAACCAACCAACAAAACCCCAAACCCAAACCAGUGGCUUCAGAGGCAACUUUAGUGAAUGCAGGUUUCAGGUUGUCAUCUUUCAGCAGUAUUUUUAAGACAAAGCCAGCUCCUAAAGGACCCUGAAUAUGUGCAACUGACUUCAAUUAGUUUUGCAAGAUUCCAGCUUCUCCCAGGAUUUAAUCCAUAAGCAAGAGCACUAGGAAUGGCUGCUUUUUCCAGGAUGGCCUGAUCCUCAUCUUGAAUAUAUGAACCUAUUAACCUUAAAAAACCCCAUUUAAGCAGGGUCCUGUAUGCCUGAGUCCCCACAGACCUCACGUCAUUCCAUGCCAUAAUAACAGAAGACUCCUCUGAUUUUAGGCAGGUACAGCUGGGAAGAAGAGAUGCCUUUUCUUUUCCAUCACUGCACCACCUCAGAGCAGUUCAUUUCAGUGCAAACAACCCACUUCCCUUUUACUUUUUAACCUUUAAAGAGUAGCACAUGCUGCUAUGCUUUAAAACAAAACUAGAAUUUAAGAAAGCCCCCAGCACAUCACACAGUGCAGCCCAUCCAGGAUUUUGGCAUGAAGCCAGUGGAUAUUCAGUGCAAAAAGGCUCAGUAUCCAAAGCAGCAUAUGCAGAAUUGAGCAAGCAGCUCUCAUUAGUACCAAUAGGAGCCUGGCUACUAAACCUUCACACCUUUUUAAAGAUGUUUCCUCUGUCUUUAAUAGCCAUUCUUUACUAAUCUACUCUGGAGCUGAAACCAAGCAGGCAGAAGUUUUAGCUGGGGAAAAAAUAGUCUUAGCCAUUAGAAAGCUGGCCCUGUUCCAGAACACAGAGCAUCUGGCCACCAGCUGUGUUUAGAGGACAGCAGACCUGAGGAAUAGAUCAGGGGAAAAUCAGAGACAGUGCUGAAAUUUGUAUGAAAAGAAUGCCAGCCUUCCCCUGUGAUGUCCAAAACCUUUGCCCUCCUACAUUCCCCAUCCUUUUCUCUUCCCAGCUCUUGAGCCAAUUAUUGGAAAAUCAACUAUUCAGGACAA
This 8626-nucleotide long non-coding RNA is filed under the name Taeniopygia guttata (zebra finch). Its description in RNAcentral is "lncRNA (ENSTGUG00000026379.1)". Lineage: Eukaryota; Metazoa; Chordata; Aves; Passeriformes; Estrildidae. The record is from RNAcentral.